GGGGCUUUAGCUCAUCUGGGAGAGCGUAUGACUGAAGUUCAUAAGGCACCGUGUUCGAUCCACGGAAGCCCCA
Linderina pennispora is the source of this 73-nucleotide transfer RNA. It matches the Rfam family "tRNA". From Rfam's summary of the family: Transfer RNA (tRNA) molecules are approximately 80 nucleotides in length. The record is from Rfam. NCBI's taxonomy places the organism in Eukaryota, Fungi, Kickxellomycota, Kickxellomycetes, Kickxellales, Kickxellaceae.